RNAcentral lists this long non-coding RNA (684 nucleotides) under Trifolium pratense (red clover). RNAcentral describes it as "long non-coding RNA (TPRA_LNC007042)". Lineage: Eukaryota; Viridiplantae; Streptophyta; Magnoliopsida; Fabales; Fabaceae. The record is from RNAcentral.
AGGAAAGCUAUUAAGGUAAGGAGUUUUUCCCAUACACUCAUGCUAUAUAAGUUUGUGUUGUGAGAUAAUAGUAAAACAUUUAUCUAUUGAGAGAGAAAAUUAAUUAAAAUGAAACUAAUAAGAAAGAAAUUCUUAUGAUGUUUUGUGUUUACUAUGCUUAGGCCCGGCCCAGAAGCACGGGCAACAAGCCAUGUGGCCGCGGGCCUCCUAAAUAUAAAGGCCUCAAAAAAAAAAUGUAUAGGGUAAUAGUAUUAGUAAAAUUGAGGGCGCAAACAUUAAAGUUGAGAAGGAUCCUAAUAUGCUUGAGCAUCCGCCCAUAAGUUUUUUUUCUCUUAUUUGAUCAAGAUUUUGAGAAUAAUGUUAAUAGAAUGACGGUUAAUGCAUGGAAGUCCCUAUCUAAUGAAGUAAGUUCAUGACUUUAUUUUAUUUUAUUUUGAAAGGUUCAUGACUUUAUUAUAACCCUGCAGUAGUAUAAAGUUGAUGUAUAAUUGAAAUAGGAUAAAAUACAUUAUUUGGAAAAAGCAGCAAUUACCAUGAUAUAGGUAGGUCAUUGUGAAUUAGUAUACGUUAUUACCAUAAUUUUUUCUUUUUAUUUAAGGUGUUAGAACAAAAAAGAUGAAAAGUUUAGAAUAAUAAUUAAGGUGUGUGGGUGACAAAGUAAGUACCUUGAUAGCGUAAUCGAUU